AAUGAACGUUGGCGGCGUGGAUUAGGCAUGCAAGUCGCACGAGAAACUAAUUAGCUUGCUAAGAAGUGGACAGUGGCGCAAGGGAGAGUAACGCGUGGUUACUUGCCCUCGAGACCGGGAUAGUGUUGGGAAACUGGCAGUAAUACCGGAUAACAUCUUCGGAUCAAAUGGUGUGAUUCCGCUCGAGGAUAGGACCGCGUACUAUUAGCUUGUUGGUGAGGUAACGGCUCACCAAGGCUGCGAUGGUUACCGGGUGUGAGAGCAUGGCCCGGCUCACUGGGACUGAGACACUGCCCAGACACCUACGGGUGGCUGCAGUCGAGAAUCUUCGGCAAUGGACGAAAGUCUGACCGAGCGACGCCGCGUGCGGGAUGAAGGCCCUCGGGUUGUAAACCGCUGUCAGUAGUUAGGAAAUCCAUGAGGGUUAUCUCUCAUGGUUGACCGAUCUUCAGAGGAAGGACGGGCUAAGUUCGUGCCAGCAAG
RNAcentral lists this ribosomal RNA (483 nucleotides) under uncultured bacterium. RNAcentral's name for it is "bacterial SSU rRNA". It matches the Rfam family "Bacterial small subunit ribosomal RNA", at positions 29 to 515 of the family's 1533-position model. The record is from RNAcentral.